AUUGGAGAUGAAAAAUAAUUUUUAUAAAUGAUUGAAUUGAUGAGGUUUAAACAAGAAACAGAUUAAGAAAAAUACCAGUACUGAGUUUAUACAUAUUUUUUUUUUUGAAAAACACGUGAAGCAAUUAUGAUCAAAUAUAAACAUAAUAAUGAAGCAGUGAUGAAACACGUUAAAACAAUUAAGAAGCUGUUGGGUUGCAAUUUUGGGAACAUACUUAAUUGAGCUAAAAUGGGUUAACAGGGUAUUGGAAAAACAAUGACGCAAUUUUUAACUACAAAUAAACACAAAUCAAACGGACUGAACAAUAACUAAAUUUCAACGACAAGCAAAUGAAGAUGGUGUGAUUAUUAAAUGUUUCAAAACAACAUGUAUGCAAGUAAGAGUGUGUGUGAGAAUAAUUGGACAAGGGAGGUGCACCCCAGAAUGAAUGUUGAAUAAUGUGUUAUGCUUAUACGAAGGAUUUACAGGAAACCAAUGGAAGACGAUCAAGUAGACAACAAAUUUCAACAAGGACGAAUAUGGAAUUCAGCUCAAGGAAGGGUAAAAUUUGUGAGUAUAUAGUGGGGAAUCUAAAAAGAUCGAAAAGGACGGUAAAAGUUCCGAUCUAGGGAUACAUAAACUGAUAAAGCAACGCCAAAGGGAU
Long non-coding RNA from Culex quinquefasciatus (southern house mosquito), 643 nucleotides. RefSeq lists it as uncharacterized. The transcript is spliced from 2 exons. The record is from RefSeq and is a predicted model, not a curated record. NCBI's taxonomy places the organism in Eukaryota, Metazoa, Arthropoda, Insecta, Diptera, Culicidae.